AGGAUGAACGCUGGCGGCGUGCUUAACACAUGCAAGUCGAACGAUGAAGGAGGAGCUUGCUCCUCCAGAUUAGUGGCGAACGGGUGAGUAAUACAUGAGCAAUGUGCCCUUGACUCUGGGAUAAGCGCUGGAAACGGCGUCUAAUACCGGAUACCGACCCUCGGAGGCAUCUCCUGAGGGUGGAAAGAACUUCGGUCAAGGAUCAGCUCAUGUCCUAUCAGUUAGUUGGUGAGGUAAUGGCUCACCAAGACGACGACGGGUA
This 262-nucleotide ribosomal RNA is filed under the name uncultured soil bacterium. RNAcentral's name for it is "partial 16S ribosomal RNA". It matches the Rfam family "Bacterial small subunit ribosomal RNA", at positions 26 to 285 of the family's 1533-position model. The record is from RNAcentral.